CCUUUAGAGUUUGGAUCCUGGCUCAGAUUGAACGCUGGCGGCAGGCCUAACACAUGCAAGUCGAGCGGUAACAUUUCUAGCUUGCUAGAAGAUGACGAGCGGCGGACGGGUGAGUAAUGCUUGGGAACAUGCCUUGAGGUGGGGGACAACCAUUGGAAACGAUGGCUAAUACCGCAUAAUGUCUACGGACCAAAGGGGGCUUCGGCUCUCGCCUUUAGAUUGGCCCAAGUGGGAUUAGCUAGUUGGUAAGGUAACGGCUUACCAAGGCGACGAUCCCUAGCUGGUUUGAGAGGAUGAUCAGCCACACUGGAACUGAGACACGGUCCAGACUCCUACGGGAGGCAGCAGUGGGGAAUAUUGCACAAUGGGCGCAAGCCUGAUGCAGCCAUGCCGCGUGUGUGAAGAAGGCCUUCGGGUUGUAAAGCACUUUCAGUCAGGAGGAAAGGUUAGUAGUUAAUACCCUGCUAGGCUGUGA
This 475-nucleotide ribosomal RNA is filed under the name Pseudoalteromonas sp. RKVR20. Its description in RNAcentral is "bacterial SSU rRNA". It matches the Rfam family "Bacterial small subunit ribosomal RNA", at positions 1 to 483 of the family's 1533-position model. Lineage: Bacteria; Pseudomonadati; Pseudomonadota; Gammaproteobacteria; Alteromonadales; Pseudoalteromonadaceae. The record is from RNAcentral.